CUCUCGCAUCGAUGAAGAACGCAGCGAAAUGCGAUAAGUAAUGUGAAUUGCAGAAUUCAGUGAAUCAUCGAAUCUUUGAACGCACCUUGCGCCCCUUGGUAUUCCGAGGGGCAUGCCUGUUUGAGUGUCAU
This 131-nucleotide ribosomal RNA is filed under the name Pleurotus ostreatus (oyster mushroom). Its description in RNAcentral is "partial 5.8S ribosomal RNA". It matches the Rfam family "5.8S ribosomal RNA", at positions 25 to 154 of the family's 154-position model. Rfam says of the family: 5.8S ribosomal RNA (5.8S rRNA) is a component of the large subunit of the eukaryotic ribosome. It is transcribed by RNA polymerase I as part of the 45S precursor that also contains 18S and 28S rRNA. Lineage: Eukaryota; Fungi; Basidiomycota; Agaricomycetes; Agaricales; Pleurotaceae. The record is from RNAcentral.